Molecule: long non-coding RNA, 461 nt
Organism: Juglans regia (Persian walnut)
Lineage: Eukaryota; Viridiplantae; Streptophyta; Magnoliopsida; Fagales; Juglandaceae
Exons: 4
Source: RefSeq, a predicted model, not a curated record
GUGAUAAGGCGGCAAAAGCGGCAUACUCUUAAAAAAAUUUCUCAGCUCUUUACACUCGCUUACACAUCCCCAGCUCUCUCCCCAUCUCCUAAGUUCUCUUCCCUGAUGUGGGCUUCAUACGAAUCUCACUUUCUAACGUGCAGCAAGCUAAACACUUGACAGUAUGGAAACCAUGAUUGACAUCUCUCCUCAUGGUGAUUGUGUGUGAAAUGGUUGCCAGAGGCUUGAAAGUACAGAUCCAAUACUAAAAGCAAAAUUAGCUACACACUUACAGUGAGGCUCUUUCGGCAUGCAGUUGACAUUACUCCACAGGUGUGCCACAGUACCGGAGGCCGCCGAAGCGGCAUCUGCGAGGGCCAAGAGAUGGCCGAAAGUUGGGUGAAUUGCAACAUGCAACUAACCUACCUGUUUGAGAGCCUUCUGUAAAACUAGAAAAUGUCUCUGAUCCCAACCAAGUUGCU